This 450-nucleotide ribosomal RNA is filed under the name uncultured bacterium. Its description in RNAcentral is "bacterial SSU rRNA". It matches the Rfam family "Bacterial small subunit ribosomal RNA", at positions 28 to 478 of the family's 1533-position model. The record is from RNAcentral.
GAUGAACGCUGGCGGCGUGCUUAACACAUGCAAGUCGAGCGAAGCAAUUUAAGUGAAGUUUUCGGAUGGAUCUUAGAUUGACUGAGCGGCGGACGGGUGAGUAACGCGUGGAUAACCUGCCUCACACAGGGGGAUAACAGUUAGAAAUGACUGCUAAUACCGCAUAAGCGCACAGUACCGCAUGGUAUAGUGUGAAAAACUCCGGUGGUGUGAGAUGGAUCCGCGUCUGAUUAGGUAGUUGGUGAGGUAACGGCCCACCAAGCCGACGAUCAGUAGCCGACCUGAGAGGGUGACCGGCCACAUUGGGACUGAGACACGGCCCAAACUCCUACGGGAGGCAGCAGUGGGGGAUAUUGCACAAUGGGCGAAAGCCUGAUGCAGCAACGCCGCGUGAGUGAAGAAGUAUCUCGGUAUGUAAAGCUCUAUCAGCAGGGAAGAAAAUGACGGUAC